UUUUUAUUGGAUGACAACUGUCAAGUAUCAUGUUCUGAUUGGAUAUCAACUCAAUGAAAGAUGAAAUGCAUUGUUAUUUUCAUUAAUCAAAAUAUGAUACGUGACAAUUAUCAUCC
Non-coding RNA from Glycine soja, 116 nucleotides. NCBI's taxonomy places the organism in Eukaryota, Viridiplantae, Streptophyta, Magnoliopsida, Fabales, Fabaceae. The record is from Rfam.